Ostrea edulis (European flat oyster) is the source of this 1012-nucleotide long non-coding RNA. RefSeq lists it as uncharacterized. The record is from RefSeq and is a predicted model, not a curated record. Lineage: Eukaryota; Metazoa; Mollusca; Bivalvia; Ostreida; Ostreidae. The transcript has 3 exons.
CUAGAGAUUGGACUGGGCUGGUGGUCCCUGUACUAUGCUGGCCCUUGUUGUGAGGAAUACUUCCUUUUUUGAAUUGAUGUUGAUGCAACCACUUUGGUCCCUUCUUUGGCAUGAUUAUUAUUUAACUGUACACUUGCAGACCUUUUCUAAGAAUAUGCUAUUGUGUUGUGGUGUGCAUGUUUAUGUAUUGUAAAUUUUUAUCUUGUUUAUUUAUUUUAUAGCUGCCUGGUCUUCUAAGAGAAACUCCAUUCUUUGAUGACUGAUGGAAAAGCCUCAUCACUCCCUACUGCUAAAUAACCACUUAUCUUAAUCACCAGCCAUUUAUCAGUGAUCACUGUUAUCAAAGCUCCAUGGUGCGCAUGAUGCAACUUCCUGGAUGUUUGUCAACAUGUGAAACCCACGUGUAUUUUGAAGUGCGACAGUAUGUCUCCAGGUUAAGUGAUUGUGUAGAUUGAUUCCCAGCAUAACGAUGAUUUGCCAAAAGAGCAUAUGAAUAGAAAAUUGGUGAUGCUUAAAAAUAUCAGCAGAAUACAGAAAUUAAGAGACACAUAUGGAAAAAAACCCUCUAUCCAAUAUUAUUUACAUAUUAGGCCUAUACAACUAGAACAUGUAACAAGUGAAAUUUAAAUGUAUGCAUAUAUUUACUGUAAAUGUAUUAUAUUCAGCGUGUACGAUAUUUGGCGGAAAUUGAUUUUUGAACAAGUUAGCGUGAAUUUGAUUUAGCGAAUUCCUUUUUUUUUUUUUUUAUUUAUGUGUAGAGUGUAAGACAUUUAGCGUUGUAUUUGAAUGAGCGGAAGUUGCUUUCCGCCAAAGGCGCUAAAAAGAAUACACAGCCAAAUGUAAUACGUUUACAGUAUUAGAGCUGUUUUAAUGUAUACAAUUGUGUAUACAUGGUUGCUUGUUUGUUGACUCAGUGUAUAGAACAUGUACUACUAUAAUGUACAUCUUUCAUGUGUUAUUUCAAUGUGAUGUUGAAUCACAUUUAAAAUACAGCAAAGCUUUUACAGCUGAA